GCUGUGAUGGCUGAGUAGCUAAGGUGUUAGACUCAAAAUCCAAGAGGGUUUCCCUGCGCAGGUUCAAAUCCUGCUCACAGCA
This is a non-coding RNA of Mauremys reevesii (Reeves's turtle), 82 nucleotides long. NCBI's taxonomy places the organism in Eukaryota, Metazoa, Chordata, Testudines, Geoemydidae. The record is from the annotation of a RefSeq genome assembly.